UUAAAAAUAAGCUAAUUUAAGCUUUUGGGUUCAUACCUCAAAUAUAAAGAGACAUCUUUUUUUUAAA
This 67-nucleotide transfer RNA is filed under the name Notocrypta curvifascia (restricted demon). RNAcentral describes it as "tRNA-Met". Lineage: Eukaryota; Metazoa; Arthropoda; Insecta; Lepidoptera; Hesperiidae. The record is from RNAcentral.